RNAcentral lists this ribosomal RNA (1538 nucleotides) under Klebsiella pneumoniae. RNAcentral's name for it is "bacterial SSU rRNA". It matches the Rfam family "Bacterial small subunit ribosomal RNA". Lineage: Bacteria; Pseudomonadati; Pseudomonadota; Gammaproteobacteria; Enterobacterales; Enterobacteriaceae. The record is from RNAcentral.
AAAUUGAAGAGUUUGAUCAUGGCUCAGAUUGAACGCUGGCGGCAGGCCUAACACAUGCAAGUCGAGCGGUAGCACAGAGAGCUUGCUCUCGGGUGACGAGCGGCGGACGGGUGAGUAAUGUCUGGGAAACUGCCUGAUGGAGGGGGAUAACUACUGGAAACGGUAGCUAAUACCGCAUAACGUCGCAAGACCAAAGUGGGGGACCUUCGGGCCUCAUGCCAUCAGAUGUGCCCAGAUGGGAUUAGCUAGUAGGUGGGGUAACGGCUCACCUAGGCGACGAUCCCUAGCUGGUCUGAGAGGAUGACCAGCCACACUGGAACUGAGACACGGUCCAGACUCCUACGGGAGGCAGCAGUGGGGAAUAUUGCACAAUGGGCGCAAGCCUGAUGCAGCCAUGCCGCGUGUGUGAAGAAGGCCUUCGGGUUGUAAAGCACUUUCAGCGGGGAGGAAGGCGNAAGGNNNNNNNNNNNNCGAUUGACGUUACCCGCAGAAGAAGCACCGGCUAACUCCGUGCCAGCAGCCGCGGUAAUACGGAGGGUGCAAGCGUUAAUCGGAAUUACUGGGCGUAAAGCGCACGCAGGCGGUCUGUCAAGUCGGAUGUGAAAUCCCCGGGCUCAACCUGGGAACUGCAUUCGAAACUGGCAGGCUAGAGUCUUGUAGAGGGGGGUAGAAUUCCAGGUGUAGCGGUGAAAUGCGUAGAGAUCUGGAGGAAUACCGGUGGCGAAGGCGGCCCCCUGGACAAAGACUGACGCUCAGGUGCGAAAGCGUGGGGAGCAAACAGGAUUAGAUACCCUGGUAGUCCACGCCGUAAACGAUGUCGAUUUGGAGGUUGUGCCCUUGAGGCGUGGCUUCCGGAGCUAACGCGUUAAAUCGACCGCCUGGGGAGUACGGCCGCAAGGUUAAAACUCAAAUGAAUUGACGGGGGCCCGCACAAGCGGUGGAGCAUGUGGUUUAAUUCGAUGCAACGCGAAGAACCUUACCUGGUCUUGACAUCCACAGAACUUUCCAGAGAUGGAUUGGUGCCUUCGGGAACUGUGAGACAGGUGCUGCAUGGCUGUCGUCAGCUCGUGUUGUGAAAUGUUGGGUUAAGUCCCGCAACGAGCGCAACCCUUAUCCUUUGUUGCCAGCGGUNCGGCCGGGAACUCAAAGGAGACUGCCAGUGAUAAACUGGAGGAAGGUGGGGAUGACGUCAAGUCAUCAUGGCCCUUACGACCAGGGCUACACACGUGCUACAAUGGCAUAUACAAAGAGAAGCGACCUCGCGAGAGCAAGCGGACCUCAUAAAGUAUGUCGUAGUCCGGAUUGGAGUCUGCAACUCGACUCCAUGAAGUCGGAAUCGCUAGUAAUCGUAGAUCAGAAUGCUACGGUGAAUACGUUCCCGGGCCUUGUACACACCGCCCGUCACACCAUGGGAGUGGGUUGCAAAAGAAGUAGGUAGCUUAACCUUCGGGAGGGCGCUUACCACUUUGUGAUUCAUGACUGGGGUGAAGUCGUAACAAGGUAACCGUAGGGGAACCUGCGGUUGGAUCACCUCCUUA